UGCCCGUGCCCGCCGGGGGCUCCCCGGCCCGGCCUCCUGCCAGCCCCCCGGCCGGCCCCCCGCGGCUCCCGGAGCCCCUCAGCCGCGGCAGCGGUGCAGCGCGCUGAGGCGAUGGGCGGCUCCCAGCCGCCCGGGGGGCUGCACCCACCGGGGGACCCCCCUUCGCGUCAGGGCUUUCACCGGCUGCAGGCCGCAGGGGCCCGCGCGUGGGUCACGGACCGGAGCGGCUCGGCAGGUCGCUGGUCCCCAGUCCCUGGCGGCCUUGGGCAGCCGAGGCCCGCGCGCACAGGCCUCGGUUCGGCCUUGACAAUCCCUGCCUGGCUCCUACCCGUCCCGCUCGCCUCGCCCGCGGUGGAGCCCGCAACAAGCCCCGUAACAGCUGCCUUAUGUCGGACCGUGUGGGAUAAGGCCGUGGAGAUGUGAUGGCAGCAGGUUAUUUCCCGCCGUGGCUCAUUUCCUUCCCGGGGGCAGGGACCGGGCUGGCAGUGCGCUGCUCUGCUCUGCCAAGCGCUGACGCUUCGGGCCCCUCCGCCCAACAGCAGGCAGGUCUGAAACCUGCACCUGCACGCCCGCGCUGCAGGGUCAUUUAGCUGGCAUUCUUUGCACCACAGUGGCACGUGUGAGACUUGGCUAGGAGCUGUACAGACUUUAAGUCCUUUGGCAAAAUGUGGCUCUCGGCAUAUUCAACGUGUGGUCAUCAAAGCGACGUGCCCCAGCGUGGUCUCUUGGAAACUGCCACUGUUCCUGAAUGCUCAAGGAGCACCAAGAGCAUAAAAGGUUUUUCCAGAUAAUUGAGUGAAGAAGACUAAAAUAAUAGAAUACUUGGGGAAAGAAAUGUCUGAUGGGCCAACAAUUUCUUAGCCCUUCAUCCUUCAAAUUUAAGGAGUUUUCUUCUUUUCAUUGUUUAUCUCAUUUAUAAAUAAGUAAGAGGAAAACUUACAGAAAAGAGGAGCACUGAUUUGGAAGGAGUCAUGUUCCUGAAGGAUGCAUCAUCAGUUCUCAAAAGUCAGGUUUGAACUUUUUUUUAGCCUUAGGCACAGAAGUGCUGGCUAAUUUAAAAUAUCCUGGACUAGCUGUGAGAGUUGCACCAUCUCCUUGGCUUUAAAGGAUACCUUACUAAAAUAGGAGAGAAGCCUAUAUUUUUCCUAAUAAAAAUUAAUUUUUUGAAAUUAA
Long non-coding RNA from Apus apus (common swift), 1173 nucleotides. RefSeq lists it as uncharacterized. NCBI's taxonomy places the organism in Eukaryota, Metazoa, Chordata, Aves, Apodiformes, Apodidae. The transcript is spliced from 3 exons. The record is from RefSeq and is a predicted model, not a curated record.